Molecule: long non-coding RNA, 1212 nt
Filed under: Lingula anatina
Lineage: Eukaryota; Metazoa; Brachiopoda; Lingulata; Lingulida; Lingulidae
Description: uncharacterized LOC106158500, transcript variant X2
Source: RNAcentral
AUUUGCCACACAUUUCUUGAUACAAAACAUCCGAUGGCUUAUUUCGGUUAUCAGAAACAUCGCCUGGAAAAGCGGUUAAGUGUUAUCAUUGUAUUGAUAUAAAAGACAGGGCGUGCUGGGACAGUUUUGUUCCAAACAAUAACUCCCACUUUGAUGUUAUCGACUGCCUCGAAGGAUGCCAAAAGUGGAGAGCUGAUAUCCACGUUGACCAGCAGAGAGUCGAACGGAAGUGUGCAAACCAACACGAAGCGGGGGAUUAUUGCCAGUCAGAAGUGAGACACGGUUUGCAGGGCGAUUUCUGCUACUGUUCAACAGACUUUUGUAAUAAUGCACGUGUAGACUCACAAACUCAUCAUUCCAUUCUGAUAUGUGUGUUAUUCGGUGCUUUUUUCAAAGAAAAUAUGCUUAGAAUGUAAUGGAAUUGAAGGUAUUGGAUUAUAAACAGACAGAUGAAUAUACCGGUACCACUGUGUCCUUGACACACAAAUCUAUAAUAUUUGGUAUAUGAUUCAGUUCGCCACUAAUUGCUAAAUUGUUGGAAGAAAGAAGCUUAUGGCGCUCCAAGUAUUGUAUUGCAGUUGGAGACUCACUUUCGCCUUCGGUCUUCGCAGCCGCAAUAUGAACAUUUGGUAUGUGAGUGUUACCACUUUUCUAUUGCGUUUCACUGGGUUCAGUGUCCUGUAGAUGAAGGCCUGCAUUCGGUCUCUUUGUGCCUCGUUAACAUCAGCGCGUAUAUCAAUACUUUCAUUAGGCUGACUCUCUCACAUUUUCUUUUAACUCCGAAAGAAAUCUUUAAGAACAUGUUAUAACGCUACCAGAAAGAACAGCAACGAACACAUACUGCAUUUUCAAUGGAACAUGGCAGAGAAUUCUUAUUAAAGUGUGGUAUAGUUGUUUAACACGCGUCGUAUAAAUGGUCGGCUACGGGUGUAUUAUUUUUCUCAUCUCUUGUCUGUUAUUUCUCUAAAUUAGAUCAUACAUGUCUUAAUGUGAUAACACGCAAAUGAAGUCCGCUUUUUUCUCUUUUUCUUUGAGAAACAGGUGAAAGCGAGAUUAAAACCGUAGAAAUUUUAUGUUGUAUAAUAUUGGCAAUUAAACGGCGGAUAUUUUAGAAGAGGUGUUACGUGACUUGGCCUGUUUAGUUAUCUGUCAAAAUAACAGUUGUAAUUGAAGCCAUUUUUUCUCUGUCUCGUGCUACCCACGAUCAACAAA